GACGAACGCUGGCGGCGUGCUUAACACAUGCAAGUCGAACGGUAAGGCCCUUCGGGGUACACGAGUGGCGAACGGGUGAGUAACACGUGGGUGAUCUGCCCUGCACUUCGGGAUAAGCCUGGGAAACUGGGUCUAAUACCGGAUAGGACCCUGGGAUGCAUGUCCUGGGGUGGAAAGCUUUUGCGGUGUGGGAUGGGCCCGCGGCCUAUCAGCUUGUUGGUGGGGUGAUGGCCUACCAAGGGGACGACGGGUAGCCGGCCUGAGAGGGUGACCGGCGACUCUGGGAGUAGGCUACGGCCCCGGCUCGUGCCGGAGGCCGCAGGGGGGAAUGUUGCACAACGGGCGCCAGCCUCAUGCAGCGACGCAUCGUGAGGGAUCACGCCAUUCGGGGUGUACACCUCUUUCAGCACCGACGAAGCGCAAGUGACGGUAGGUGCAGAAGAAGGACCGGCCAUCUACGUGCCAGCAGCCGCAGUAA
RNAcentral lists this ribosomal RNA (478 nucleotides) under uncultured bacterium. Its description in RNAcentral is "partial 16S ribosomal RNA". It matches the Rfam family "Bacterial small subunit ribosomal RNA", at positions 28 to 523 of the family's 1533-position model. The record is from RNAcentral.